This 301-nucleotide unclassified non-coding RNA is filed under the name Ambisporaceae sp. RNAcentral's name for it is "partial internal transcribed spacer 2". The stretch from base 1 to 71 matches the Rfam family "5.8S ribosomal RNA", at positions 84 to 154 of the family's 154-position model. Lineage: Eukaryota; Fungi; Glomeromycota; Glomeromycetes; Archaeosporales; Ambisporaceae. The record is from RNAcentral.
GUGAAUCAUCGAAUCUUUGAACGCAUAUUGCACUCUCUGGUAUUCCGGAGAGUAGGCCAGGUUGAGGUUAAUGAAGAAGAAUCUUUAACCAAUUUGUUUGGUUAAAGUGUGUGAGUUCUCGGCGUUUAUAUCGGUAGCUCGAACUAAAUGGUCAAGUCUCAUUUAAGUCGAGACGCGUAACAAUAUUAUUUCGCGAAAUCUUCAUUAUGUGACUAUCAAGUUUUGAUGCAUACAGAUUUUGUUUGUAUGCGAUCAAUACAAAUAUGUUGAACAUUACCUCAAAGCAGGUAGCAUUACCCGG